Myxocyprinus asiaticus (Chinese sucker) is the source of this 3183-nucleotide long non-coding RNA. RefSeq lists it as uncharacterized. The transcript is spliced from 2 exons. NCBI's taxonomy places the organism in Eukaryota, Metazoa, Chordata, Actinopteri, Cypriniformes, Catostomidae. The record is from RefSeq and is a predicted model, not a curated record.
ACAUUUAACAAAAACCCACCAAUUCACUAUCUCAAAAAAUUAGAAUAUGGUGACAUGCCAAUCAGCUAAUCAACUCAAAACACCUGCAAAGGUUUCCUGAGCCUUCAAAAUGGUCUCUCAGUUUGGUUCACUAGGCUACACAAUCAUGGGGAAGACUGCUGAUCUGACAGUUGUCCAGAAGACAAUCAUUGACACCCUUCACAAGGAGGGUAAGCCACAAACAUUCAUUGCCAAAGAAGCUGGCUGUUCACAGAGUGCUGUAUCCAAGCAUGUUAACAGAAAGUUGAGUGGAAGGAAAAAGUGUGGAAGAAAAAGAUGCUCAACCAACCAAGAGAACCACAGCUUUAUGAGGAUUGUCAAGCAAAAUUGAUUCAAGAAUUUGGGUGAACUUCACAAGGAAUGGACUGAGGCUGGGGUCAAGGCAUCAAGAGCCACCACACACAGACGUGUCAAGGAAUUUGGCUACAGUUGUCGUAUUCCUCUUGUUAAGCCACUCCUGAACCACAGACUACGUCAGAUGCGUCUUACCUGGGCUAAGGAGAAGAAGAACUGGACUGUUGCCCAGUGGUCCAAAUUCCUCUUUUCAGAUGAGAGCAAGUUUUGUAUUUCAUUUGGAAUCCAAGGUCCUAGAGUCUGGAGGAAGGGUGGAGAAGAUCAUAGCCCAAGUUGCUUGAAGUCCAGUGUUAAGUUUCCACAGUCUGUGAUGAUUUGGGGUGCAAUGUCAUCUGCUGGUGUUGGUCCAUUGUGUUUUUUGAAAGUCACUGCACCCGUUUACCAAGAAAUUUUGGAGCACUUUCAGCUUUUUAAAGAUGCUGAUUUCAUUUUCCAGCAGGAUUUGGCACCUGCCCACACUGCCAAAAGCACCAAAAGUUGGUUAAAUGACCAUGGUGUUGGUGUGCUUGACUGGCCAGCAAACUCACCAGACCUGAACCCCAUAGAGAAUCUAUGGGGUAUUGUCAACAGGAAAAUGAGAAACAAGAGACCAAAAAAUGCAGAUGAGCUGAAGGCCACUGUCAAAGAAACCUGGGCUUCCAUACCACCUCAGCAGUGCCACAAACUGAUCACCUCCAUGCCACGCCGAAUUGAGGCAGUAAUUAAAGCAAAAGGAGCCCCUACCAAGUAUUGAGUACAUAUACAGUAAAUGAACAUACUUUCCAGAAGGCCAACAAUUCACUAAAAAUGUUUUUUUUUAUUGGUCUUAUGAUGUAUUCUAAUUUUUUGAGAUAGUGAAUUGGUGGGUUUUUGUUAAAUGUGAGCCAAAAUCAUCACAAUUAAAAGAACCAAAGACUUAAACUACUUCAGUCUGUGUGCAUUGAAUUUAUUUAAUACACGAGUUUCACAAUUUGAGUUGAAUUACUGAAAUAAAUGAACUUUUCCACGACAUUCUAAUUUAUUGAGAUGCACCUGUAUAUAUACAGAAGGCUGAGCUGUUUGUAGGUCAUUCUACAAUUGUGGUGGCAUUUCUAAUUGAACAUUUUCAUAAUGGCUAGUUCACCUAAACAACAAAUUCUGUUAUCAUUUACUCACCAUAAUGUUGUUCCAAACCCAUAUUACUUUCUUUCUUUUGUGGAACAUAACAGGAGAUGUAAUGCAGAAUGACUGUAUUUUUGGAAAAAAAUGCAAUAAAAGUGAAUGGUGACUGAGGCUGACAUUUUGCCUCCAAGGCGAACUCCUUUUGCCUUUUAUGCAAAUGAUGACAGAUGUUAUUUUUAUUUUUUCCCCAUAAAAGUCAUUUUGGUGAUUUUAUUUUGUUUUGCAGGAACACAGCUGAUUAUAAUCGUAACAAUUUCUUUAUAUAAAUAACAGAUUGAAACCAGUAUAAAGUUAAAUAAAUCUAGUUGUAUGUCAAAGCUACUAUCAAAGAUAACAAAUCUUUUUUUCUUCUUUUUUUACUACUAUUAUUUAUUAAUAAAAGUAAUUAAUAUAGAGCUGAAUUAUGGAACAAUGGCAUGAUAUUUUGAUGCUUUAAAAGGUUUUUAAAACCAAAAUAAAAAUAAAUAUUAAGAUCUUAUUACACUUCCUGUUCUGGUUGCUGCAGCAUGCUGCACGAGUGUUUUAUAGCUUGCUAGUCUGAUUAGCAUUGCUUAUCCUUAUUCUUAUACCUUCAUCCUUUUAUCCUUUGCCAUUUUGCUGUGUGCUUCGGGUUUUUCCGCUUUUCUACUUUUUCAACUGCGUGUAUUUUACCGUGUGCACCCGUUUUCUGUCUUUUUUUUCCUGCUUGUCUACAUCUCACGUCUCGACUGCAUGCAUUCGCUUAAGAACAACCUUAACAACAACAACAAACAACUGCGGUUACCAGAGCUGGUCAGACCCAGCUCCAUUCCUGCUUGGUGUCGGACUCCACUUGGUGUUUGGUGUUUCUGAGUGAUGAUGACUAAAUGCAGCCGGUACUAGCCAGACAUCAUUUCAAUCUUUUAUAAUGGACUUCAGAGGAUGAACUGAUGCACACUCCAACUGUAAGACAUUGGAUACUUCAUAUGCCACUGCCUGAACCUUGGAUUUAGGAUGGACUCCACCGAACCUCACUGAAAUUACCUGCUGGUUGAACUGCGAUGCCCCUCAUUGAUCUCUGCCUGCAUCACCUUUGUCUAUUGUUGGACUACACUCUUGAAAUGGAAUACAUAGACUAUCAUUUAAUUGCCAACAAAUGCCUUCAUCAGCCAACUAACAAAGAACAAUGCAUCUAUGUGAACUUCUGCAGUUAAUCCAGGAUGGACUUCAAAGACAUUAGUCAGUAAUCUUACAGUUCUUACAGUUUUUUUAAACACUGGACCUUAAUACUUACUUAGUUUACUAAUCUUAAACUCUGAACUGCACUGCAUAUAAAUAACUAAUAUUGGCAUUAUAUUCAUGCUGGUUAGCCAGAGGGGAACUGGCCCCCACAGUGAGCCUGGUUUCUCCCAAGGUUAUUUUUCUCCAUUAACCAACAUCUAAUGGAGUUUUGUGUUCCUUGCCACAGUCGCCUUCAGCUUGCUCACAGGGGUUCUAAAUACAAUUAUUAUUUAUGUAAUUUUUAUAAAAAUUUACAAUCAUAUUUACUCAAACUACAUAAUGAUCACUCUAAGACUUUAUAGAUAUUACAGUUUCAUUUUUUUAUGCAUGAUUUUCUGUAAAGCUGCUUUGAAACGAUGUGUGUUAUGAAAAGCGCUAUACAAAUAAAAAUGACGACACGACUCUCUGAAA